CAGAUAGUUUUCUAGGGUUCCGCAGUUUACACUGGUCUGGUCCGAGAGAAAACGCACAGCAUUGCUGUGACACGGAAGGAUAAAAGCCUGGGAGAU
Molecule: small RNA, 96 nt
Filed under: Terribacillus aidingensis
Lineage: Bacteria; Bacillati; Bacillota; Bacilli; Caryophanales; Bacillaceae
Description: Guanidine-I sequence
Rfam family: Guanidine-I riboswitch aptamer
About the family: This family represents a conserved RNA structure found upstream of the ykkC and yxkD genes in Bacillus subtilis and related genes in other bacteria. The function of this family is unclear although it has been suggested that it may function to switch on efflux pumps and detoxification systems in response to harmful environmental molecules. Nelson showed that this riboswitch senses and responds to guanidine and it was renamed Guanidine-I riboswitch.
Source: Rfam by way of RNAcentral